Molecule: ribosomal RNA, 1363 nt
Filed under: metagenome
Description: bacterial LSU rRNA
Rfam family: Bacterial large subunit ribosomal RNA
Source: RNAcentral
AGGAGGCUUGCCUCCGAAGUGAGUGAUACCCAGCUUCCAGGAAAAGCCACUAAGCUUCAGCUGCACACGACCGUACCGCAAACCGACACUGGUGCGCGAGAUGAGUAUUCUCAGGCGCUUGAGAGAACUCGGGAGAAGGAACUCGGCAAAUUGACACCGUAACUUCGGAAGAAGGUGUGCCUUUAGUAGGUGAACCCGUACAGGGGGAGCCCAAUGAGGUUGCAAAGAAUCGGUGGCUGCGACUGUUUAAUAAAAACACAGCACUCUGCAAACACGAAAGUGGACGUAUAGGGUGUGACGCCUGCCCGGUGCUGGAAGAUUAAGUGAUGGGGUGCAAGCUCUUGAUCGAAGUCCCAGUAAACGGCGGCCGUAACUAUAACGGUCCUAAGGUAGCGAAAUUCCUUGUCGGGUAAGUUCCGACCUGCACGAAUGGCGUAACGAUGGCCACACUGUCUCCUCCCGAGACUCAGCGAAGUUGAAAUGUUUGUGAUGAUGCAAUCUCCCCGCGGAAAGACGGAAAGACCCCAUGAACCUUUACUGUAGCUUUGUAUUGGACUUUGAACGGAUCUGUGUAGGAUAGGUGGGAGGCUUUGAAGCAGGGUCGCUAGAUCUUGUGGAGCCAACGUUGAAAUACCACCCUGGUGCGUUUGAGGUUCUAACCUAGGCCCGUUAUCCGGGUCGGGGAUAGUGCAUGGUAGGCAGUUUGACUGGGGCGGUCUCCUCCCAAAGCGUAACGGAGGAGUUCGAAGGUACGCUAGUUACGGUCGGACAUCGUGACGAUAGUGCAAUGGCAUAAGCGUGCUUAACUGCGAGACUGACAAGUCGAGCAGAUGCGAAAGCAGGACAUAGUGAUCCGGUGGUUCUGUAUGGAAGGGCCAUCGCUCAACGGAUAAAAGGUACUCUGGGGAUAACAGGCUGAUACCGCCCAAGAGUUCAUAUCGACGGCGGUGUUUGGCACCUCGAUGUCGGCUCAUCUCAUCCUGGGGCUGUAGCCGGUCCCAAGGGUAUGGCUGUUCGCCAUUUAAAGAGGUACGUGAGCUGGGUUUAAAACGUCGUGAGACAGUUUGGUCCCUAUCUUCCGUGGGCGCUGCAGAUUUGAGGAAGCCUGCUCCUAGUACGAGAGGACCGGAGUGGACGCACCUCUGGUGUACCUGUUGUCACGCCAGUGGCAUUGCAGGGUAGCUAAGUGCGGAAGAGAUAACCGCUGAAAGCAUCUAAGCGGGAAACUCGUUUCAAGAUGAGAUCUGCCGGGGCCUUGAGCCCCCUGAAGAGUCGUUCUAGACCAGGACGUUGAUAGGCUGGGUGUGGAAGCGCAGUAAUGCGUUAAGCUAACCAGUACUAAUUGCUCGUGCGGCUUGACCCU